UCGAACGGGGGUAGCAAUACCCUAGUGGCGAACGGGUGAGUAAUGCAUCGGAACGUGUCCCGUAGUGGGGGAUAGCCCGGCGAAAGCCGGAUUAAUACCGCAUAUGCUCUACGGAGGAAAGUGGGGGACCGCAAGGCCUCACGCUAUGGGAGCGGCCGAUGUCGGAUUAGCUAGUUGGUGAGGUAAAGGCUCACCAAGGCGACGAUCCGUAGCUGGUCUGAGAGGAUGAUCAGCCACACUGGGACUGAGACACGGCCCAGACUCCUACGGGAGGCAGCAGUGGGGAAUUUUGGACAAUGGGGGCAACCCUGAUCCAGCCAUGCCGCGUGAGUGAAGAAGGCCUUCGGGUUGUAAAGCUCUUUCGGCCGGAAAGAAAGCCUCGCUCUUAAUACGGGUGGGGGUUGACGGUACCGGCAUAAGAAGCACCGGCUAACUACGUGCCAGCAGCCGCGGUAAUACGUAGGGUGCGAGCGUUAAUCGGAAUUACUGGGCGUAAAGCGUGCGCAGGCGGUUGACUAAGCUUGCUGUGAAAGCCCCGGGCUUAACCUGGGAAUGGCAGUGAGGACUGGUCGACUGGAGUGUGGCAGAGGGGGGUGGAAUUCCACGUGUAGCAGUGAAAUGCGUAGAGAUGUGGAGGAACACCGAUGGCGAAGGCAGCCCCCUGGGCUAACACUGACGCUCAGGCACGAAAGCGUGGGGAGCAAACAGGAUUAAAUACCCUGGUAGUCCACGCCCUAAACGAUGUCAACUAGGUGUUG
Molecule: ribosomal RNA, 758 nt
Filed under: uncultured beta proteobacterium
Lineage: Bacteria; Pseudomonadati; Pseudomonadota; Betaproteobacteria
Description: bacterial SSU rRNA
Rfam family: Bacterial small subunit ribosomal RNA
Source: RNAcentral